Molecule: signal recognition particle RNA, 267 nt
Filed under: Paenibacillus beijingensis
Lineage: Bacteria; Bacillati; Bacillota; Bacilli; Caryophanales; Paenibacillaceae
Description: Bacterial large signal recognition particle RNA
Rfam family: Bacterial large signal recognition particle RNA
About the family: The signal recognition particle (SRP) is a universally conserved ribonucleoprotein involved in the co-translational targeting of proteins to membranes. Archaeal SRP consists of a 7S RNA and homologues of the eukaryotic SRP19 and SRP54 proteins.
Source: Rfam by way of RNAcentral
CCGUGCUAGAUGGGGAGGUAGCGGUGCCCUGUAACUCGCAAUCCGCUGCAGCGAGGUUGAACUCCUGCCUUAGGUCGUGCCGAUGUGAAGUCUGGCAGCUGUGAAAGGUGUUGACGGACGGGUCCUCCGCAAUGGAUGCCUGUGAACCCGGUCAGGUCCGGAAGGAAGCAGCCGUAAGCAGGUUAAUUCAUGUGCCGGAGGAGUGCCUGGCCCGAGCUGGGAUCAGAGGUGCCGUUCGGAUCGCAUAGAUCAACGGCAGGUGCACGG